This 253-nucleotide ribosomal RNA is filed under the name uncultured bacterium. RNAcentral's name for it is "partial 16S ribosomal RNA". It matches the Rfam family "Bacterial small subunit ribosomal RNA", at positions 524 to 776 of the family's 1533-position model. The record is from RNAcentral.
UACGUAGGAGGCGAGCGUUGUCCGGAAUUACUGGGUGUAAAGAGCGCGUAGGUGGGCGGCCAAGUCUGUGGUGAAAGCGCCCGGCUCAACUGGGCAUGGUCCAUGGAAACUGGUCACCUGGAGGACGGUAGAGGCGAGUGGAAUUCCCGGUGUAGUGGUGAAAUGCGUAGAGAUCGGGAGGAACACCAGUGGCGAAGGCGGCGCGCUGGGCCGGUCCUGACACUGAGGCGCGAAGGCGUGGGGAGCGAACGGG